This 562-nucleotide ribosomal RNA is filed under the name Dorea formicigenerans. RNAcentral's name for it is "partial 23S ribosomal RNA". It matches the Rfam family "Bacterial large subunit ribosomal RNA", at positions 1579 to 2156 of the family's 2925-position model. The record is from RNAcentral. Lineage: Bacteria; Bacillati; Bacillota; Clostridia; Lachnospirales; Lachnospiraceae.
AAGAGUAGGGAAGAGUGUGAGCCAUGCGUCAAGAAAAGCCGCUAUUGUUUGUAUCGCGCCCGUACCGUAAACCGACACAGGUGGAUGAGGAGAGAAUCCUAAGGCCGACGGGAGAAGCAUUGUUAAGGAACUCGGCAAAAUGACUCCGUAACUUCGGGAGAAGGAGUGCCACUGAGAGGUGGCCGCAGAGAAUUGGCCCAAGCAACUGUUUAGCAAAAACACAGGUCUAUGCAAAACCGAAAGGUGAAGUAUAUGGGCUGACGCCUGCCCGGUGCUGGAAGGUUAAGGGGAGAGGUUAGCGCAAGCGAAGCUUUGAACUUAAGCCCCAGUAAACGGCGGCCGUAACUAUAACGGUCCUAAGGUAGCGAAAUUCCUUGUCGGGUAAGUUCCGACCCGCACGAAAGGCGUAAUGAUUUGGGCACUGUCUCAACAAUGCACCCGGUGAAAUUGAAAUACCAGUGAAGAUGCUGGUUACCUGCGCCAGGACGGAAAGACCCCAUGGAGCUUUACUCCAGCUUGAUACUGGGAUUCGGUAUUGCAUGUACAGGAUAGGUGGGAGGCU